This 396-nucleotide ribosomal RNA is filed under the name uncultured bacterium. Its description in RNAcentral is "partial 16S ribosomal RNA". It matches the Rfam family "Bacterial small subunit ribosomal RNA", at positions 359 to 774 of the family's 1533-position model. The record is from RNAcentral.
GAUAUUUGUAAAUGGGGGGAACCCUGAACCAGCGACACCGCGUGAGGGAAGAAGGAUUUAGGAUUGUCAACCUCUGUCUUCGGAGAAGAUAAUGACGGUACCCGAGGAGGAAGACACGGCUAACUACGUGCCAGCAGCAGCGGUAAUACGUAGGUGGCAAGCGUUGUCCGGAAUUACUGGGUGUAAAGGGAGCGUAGGCGGGAAGGCAAGUUGAAUGUUAAAUCUAUCGGCUCAACCGAUAGCCGCGUUCAAAACUGUCUUUCUUGAGUGAAGUAGAGGCAAGCAGAAUUCCUAGUGUAGCGGUGAAAUGCGUAGAGAUUAGGAGGAAUACCAGUGGCGAAGGCGGCUUGCUGGACUUUUACUGACGCUGAGGCUCGAAAGUGUGGGGAGCAAACA